This 833-nucleotide long non-coding RNA is filed under the name Drosophila guanche. The record is from RNAcentral. Lineage: Eukaryota; Metazoa; Arthropoda; Insecta; Diptera; Drosophilidae.
CAUCACAUCACGGAUUGAGAUCCGAUUUUAUCAUUAUUAUAGCCACAAUGAAGAAAUUUAUUUGCAGUGGCUAAACCCACCCCGUCCCGCAGCUUAUAUUUAUAUUUUGCACAUUCUCUCAUUCAACGUCUUCUUCGCGCGGUGUGCGGCCUCUGCCUCUGCCGUACCUCUGCCAUGACUCUGCAGUGUGAGGCUCUAGGGAAGGGGGCGAGCUUAAGGAGCGUGUUGGAAAAAAAGUAAAAUUUUACAAAAAAAAACCGCUAAGGUACAGAUGUAGUACUGAGUACCGGGUGUAAGAGUUGUGACGCGUAAGAAGCGUUUCACACGUCCCUUCUCGUUUUUUUUCGGAAUUUUUUGAUUAAAGUCUGAAAGUGCGCUGUUCGUUUAUGGCCAAGUCGAGACCGAAAUCCCAAAAAAUUCAAGACGUUUUUUUGUAUGUACAACAUUAAAAAGCAGCACGAAGUCACCACAUGAUAUUUUGGGAAUGGCUAUUGGAAUGGUGGGGAGGAGAGUCCACGAAUAAUUUCAUAAGGGCUCCGAACCGUAGGACUGCCGCUCAAAUGCGGUUGCACUGGUAAAAAGAUAAACCACAUAAAAAUAAGCAAGACAGCGCAGCGCUCACAUCUGACACUGUUAUUGUAAUUCGAGAGCCUGGCCAUAUUAGGUGGCAAUUUUGGCACUCGAUUGACGAACUGACUCAAUGGCUAACUGGCAGACUGGCUAACUGACACGCUCCACGAGCCAAGAAGCAACAUAUCCGAUAUCAGUCGGUAGGUUUGACAAAUCAUGUUUCUGGGGCAUUUAUCCAAUGGGAUGAUCUUGAAUAUUGCAAC